UUAUUGGAGAGUUUGAUCCUGGCUCAGGACGAACGCUGGCGGCGUGCCUAAUACAUGCAAGUCGAGCGGACUUU
Molecule: ribosomal RNA, 74 nt
Filed under: Bacillus benzoevorans
Lineage: Bacteria; Bacillati; Bacillota; Bacilli; Caryophanales; Bacillaceae
Also listed under: 2 other names
Description: Bacterial small subunit ribosomal RNA
Rfam family: Bacterial small subunit ribosomal RNA
Source: Rfam by way of RNAcentral